AACCUCCGCAAUGUGAGAAAUCGCGACGGGGGGAUCCCAAGUGCCAUUCUUAACGGGAUGGCUUUUCAUUAGUGUAAAGAGCUUUUGGAAUAAGAGCUGGGCAAGACCGGUGCCAGCCGCCGCGGUAACACCGGCAGCUCUAGUGGUAACAAUUUUUAUUGGGCCUAAAGCGUCCGUAGCCGGUUUAAUAAGUCUCUGGUGAAAUCCUGUAGCUUAACUGUGGGAAUUGCUGGAGAUACUAUUAGACUUGAGACCGGGAGAGGUUAGAGGUACUCCCAGGGUAGAGGUGAAAUUCUGUAAUCCUGGGAGGACCGCCUGUUGCGAAGGCGUCUAACUGGAACGGUUCUGACGGUGAGGGACGAAAGUUAGGGGCGCGAACCGGAUUAGAUACCCGGGUAGUCCUAACUGUAAACGAUGCGGACUUGGUGUUGGGGUGGCUUUGAGCUGCUCCAGUGCCGAAGGAAGCUGUUAAGUCCGCCGCCUGGGAAGUACGGUCGCAAGACUGAAACUUAAAGGAAUU
Molecule: ribosomal RNA, 520 nt
Filed under: uncultured bacterium
Lineage: Bacteria
Description: bacterial SSU rRNA
Rfam family: Archaeal small subunit ribosomal RNA
Source: RNAcentral